Molecule: non-coding RNA, 488 nt
Organism: Cyanistes caeruleus (blue tit)
Lineage: Eukaryota; Metazoa; Chordata; Aves; Passeriformes; Paridae
Source: RefSeq, a predicted model, not a curated record
UGCUGCUAUGCCAAGCUGGCAGCGCGGCGGUGCCGCCCGGGAGCGCUGCAGCCGCUCUCGGCUCCCCGGGCAGGGAUCCCCGCCUGCAGCUCGGGCUCGUGGUGCCAGCGAGGCGCCUGCAGGUGCGAGCGGGCGGCGCGGCUGUGCCGGGCUCGGCUCCGCCGCCGCUGCCGGGGACGGGCCGGGAGGUGCUGAAACAAAAACUCCCUUGGCCAAACCAUCUCCGGGGGAUGAUCCGACAAGGGACGGCGCAGGCAGAGCUUCCCAGCCCUGGUGAGUCUCCUCCUCGGAGCCUUUUGGUGAUGCGAGGAGGGGGAAGCAGAGCUGACGUGAUGUUCCAGCACAGCAAAACAAGGGAGGGGUGGAUGGACACCUGCCCCUGGUCCCGGUGAUGGGAAACGUCUCCCUUGGCAGCCUGGCCGCUCCCUCUGCUUCCUGCUUCAAAUUCCCUCCUGUUGCUCCAAAAUAAAAGCAGAGAGCCCAAAGCA